Molecule: transfer RNA, 75 nt
Filed under: Vibrio pelagius
Lineage: Bacteria; Pseudomonadati; Pseudomonadota; Gammaproteobacteria; Vibrionales; Vibrionaceae
Description: tRNA-Val
Rfam family: tRNA
About the family: Transfer RNA (tRNA) molecules are approximately 80 nucleotides in length.
Source: RNAcentral
GGGCGAUUAGCUCAGUUGGGAGAGCACCUGCCUUACAAGCAGGGGGUCACUGGUUCGAGCCGGUAUCGCCCACCA